RNAcentral lists this non-coding RNA (23 nucleotides) under Arabidopsis thaliana (thale cress). Lineage: Eukaryota; Viridiplantae; Streptophyta; Magnoliopsida; Brassicales; Brassicaceae. The record is from RNAcentral.
AGGUGCAGUCAUUUGAAUUGAUG